This 516-nucleotide unclassified non-coding RNA is filed under the name Hevea brasiliensis (rubber tree). The record is from RNAcentral. Lineage: Eukaryota; Viridiplantae; Streptophyta; Magnoliopsida; Malpighiales; Euphorbiaceae.
UAUUACAAUUCGAAUUGGGAUCUACUGUUGUAUCUGACAGUAAUCUCCUCUAUCUAAUUUUCUAAGACGCGGUAUAUAUAUGAUGUCUUUUCUAACUCUUCUGAUGUACAAACUGGAAAUCCAGGUUAGUUCUUUACAAAAUUGUGAAAGGAAAGGCCUCAGAUCCUAUUCAAACGAGAAGUAAGAUCAAUGAACACAUCCUCACUACAGGGAAUUGUGACACCGCCCAUUGGAUGAUCAAAGCCAAAUUCUUCCUCAGCUUGACUAAGCAAGUCUUGAAAUAAAGGUUGGCUCAAGAAUGAUAUGGGGAUCACAAACCUCUUCUUUUGCUUCUCCCCUACAUAAACAGCAAAGUGGCCUUUCGGAACGUCUCCACUUGUAGAAGACUUCUUGAUUAUACGAGGCAUACGGAUAACCAUGGUCGUUUAGUUCAAUAUAGAUGAGCAAAUAAGGAAGGAAAGAACUUGUAAAAUGACUUUGAAAGCAGAGGAAAGCUUUGUAUGAUUUCAAGUUUUG